CUGAAAGGAGGUGACCAGGUCACCUGAAAUGGCCCCUCCUAGUUCAGGGAGACUCUUUGGCUCACUUUCCUAGUGGUUCUUGGGAAGUCAGGGAGAUGAUUAUCUGAGUUUUCUGUUGCUAUAACAAAGCACCCAAGGCCAGGUGAUUUAUUUUUUUUAUUUUUUGUGGUGCUGGGGAUUGGACCCGGGGCUUUGUGCAUGCAGGACAAGCACCCUACCAACUGAGCUGUAUCCCCAGCCCGGCCAGGUGACUUAUAAUGAGUGGAAGUUUGUUCAGCUCACAGUUGUGGAGAAUGGCAAGUCAUUAUCAAGGAGCUGACAUCUGGCAAGGGUCCCCUGCUGCACCUUCACAUGGCAGAGGGCGUCACAGGGUGGGAGAGAAAACAUGCCGUACGUAAGUGGAGAAGUCGAGGCCAGGGCUGCUUGCUCCAAGCCACACCAUCAGUGAGUCUGAGGCCAGGGGAGAUUGGACUCCAACUCUAGUGGGUCAGGACGGGCCACUUGCCUGAGGCCCAGUUCAUGGAGGUGCAGAGGAUCAGCUCUUCCCAGCCGAGCGGCCAAUGACCAGGCCAGCUGGAGGCCUCACAGGGCAUCGUCCUCCCUGCCUCUCAAGGGCCCUGUCUGGUUACAGGCUAGCUCUUGUGUGUCCUGUGGGUACCCAGCACUCCGGCCUGAAUCGGGCGCCCAUGUGCUCACUGACAGGGGCUCUGGGCCUCAGGUUUCCUCCCAACACAGGGCUCUUGUGAGGACCAGGGAGAGGAGACCUCGAGCACCAGGUCCCGGGAAGCAGGACGUGUGGGAAUCUGCAGGAGAGGGCCACUUGUGCAGGAGAGCACCAGGUUUAGAUGUGGGUUAUCCCCUGGACGGUCUGUGUGGCCACCAGAAAGUUGCUCUUGUCCUCUGUAGAGAGGGGCUCCUCACCAUAAGCACAUCUAGUGAGGGACUAUUGGGAGGAUCUCACCUAGUCUUCAAAACAGGACGGCCCGACGCUCCCUGCCUUCCCGGGACUGGAGGGAACCCUUGGAACGUAAGCCCUUCAGUGCUAAAGUAGCAGAGUCCCAGGCAGAUAGGGACGAGGUGGUCAUCUUGCCUUACCAUCGUCCCAUGAGGGAUGAGUUACCUGUGUUGCCCAGGUCUUCAAUUUCAGGAGGUACAGUGAGGUCAUUGAAGCUUGGAUCAUUGCUUAGCUUCACACACACACACACACCUCUUCCCACCACACCUGCGCUGUGAUGUUGGCCUUGGUCCUGUGGCUUGCUUUGGCCAAUGGAACGUCAGUGACCAUGACAGCGGCUGUGGCUUUGAGGUGCUUGUGCAGUUUGGCUUGGUUUGGGCUCCCGUGGUCCACCCGACGAAGACCAUAUCCCGGCUCACUCAUGGCCUGUCAUCCCUGGUUCCAGAUAAAGCAGAAGUGGACUUGAGCCCAACCGCGCUGGACUGUGCUUACAGUCACCUCUGUGUGACCCCACGAGUGUCUUCCAGAUGGCUGGGAAAAGAAGGGAGCAAGGACAUGCCACAAAGAGACGCCGAUGAGCAACAGUUCCGUAAACUCCACAACCCUUUGCAAAGGAUAUACCUCUCAAUAGAAAUUCCAGUAGCUCCGACUAUUCCCAGGGUGCUGGUGGAGAGGGGAGCAGGCGGUGGAGGAGGACACGCUCCUGCCAUGGUCGGGGGGCUGCAGGCCCUGGGUGACUUAAGGCCACCUUUAUGAAACCCAAAAGCUCGACUGAGCCACGCGUUGUUUGGGGAUCCACAUGUGUGUGGCAAAGUCACCAUGGAAACCCAGGGACCGUGGACAACAUCCGGCAGGCCCGUCCUCCUGGAAGCAGCAGAACUCGAAGCUCAGGCGUGCUGGUGAGGCCUGGGAGCGAGCCCUGGUUCGCCACUCCCUGGGGUCCUGAGCCAGGAAGGCCAACUCCCUGCGCCUCUGGUCUCCUGCUCUGUAAGCUGGGCCGGGACGGCAACAGCACCACCUUCCGCCACCUCUUAGGAGGAGACGCGGCUGUGGCGCCCACACCUGGGUGCAAUUAGUGGACCGUGCUGCACACCUCAGUGUGAUCAAGUGAAUGAAUGCCGUGGGUUACUGCGUAGAUACGACUGUUACACAACAAACAGACUGGGGGGGGGGGGACACUCAUCAGUCCUCACCACGUCCACACCGACCGGGCAUGUGCUCACCCCGCUCAGCGGAAGCAAGCAGAUGAGAGUCGGCCCAGCACCGACCCAUUCCCAAGGGUAAGGCAGUGGGCGCGUACUAGGAAAGACGCCUUUCACCCAGGUGCAUGGACAGAGGUCGGAAGCGUGUCCCUGGGGAGGAAGAGCCUUUCACUCAGCGGCUUCAGGUCCCUCGCCCGGCAGGUCCCUUGCCCGGUAUGGACUGGACGGUCCCCGGGCUGGACCGACUCCAGGUCCGUCUGGCCAGCGAUCCCGCCCAGCGCUGUGGACGGGAGGGGCCCCGAGUGCCUGGGAGGAGCUGGCUGAGGAGUUCAAUAAUUAAUUUGCCACAAUUAAACCCAAGACUUGUGACUCCAGCAGCAGAUAAGCCGGGGCAGAGCUAACAAGGAGGCAGGGAGGGGUGGCUUGGGCAAACCGGUUGUGAAGGGUGACUGGUGUAGAUAGGGCCUGUCAUUGCUUUAUUGUGGCAAUAACUUUGUCGUUAGCAUCUGGAGAUCUAGGAAGGAAGGCGCCGGCUGUCCAUGUCAGGCGGGCAACCCCAGCCAGGCUCAGUCGGCUGCGCCACCAGGGAGGGGCUGGGUCUCAGGCCCAUGGCGGGCAGUGUGCUGGCUCCCCCUCUCCUCCCUGUCUGGGCUGGAAGAGCCCGGAUAGAGUGCUGAGGGCUGACGUUCAGCUAGGGUCAAGAGGAUGCCUUUGUGUAGAGGUGGGGAUUGCUCUACAGGGAAUGGCUUCCCCUGGGAGGCAGGGAAUGAAGCAGGCAAUGUUAGAUUAGACUCCAGUAAGAACUUUCUCCUGAAGAAGUGAUAAUCACAAGAGCCAUAUUUGCAGAGUGCUUGCUCUGUGCCAGUGCUAGAUGUGUUAUGCCAAUUCACUUAUUCCUGUCACCCAUAGUUAGGCAUUUUAUCACCCCUUUAUAGAGAUGAGGAAACUGGGUACCUUAGAAGUCAAACACCUUACCCCGGGUCAUAGAGCAACUAAGGGCAGAGACAGGAAGUGAAUGCAGACAGCUUGUUCCCAGUGCCACCUUGUCUCCUCAAGGUCCACCCAUGAGAUGCUGUAGGAUGGGGUUUUCUCUGGAAUCUCCCGUGGUUUUCUUGCUCUGCCACCGCUCAGCCAGUGUGGUCACACAGAGCACACAGAGCACGCGUGUACACAGGUCACACGCACACACCAGACACAUGGUCACACGUGCACAUCGUUCUCCCAGCCAUCCCCACGCGGGUCCUUGGGGAGCUGGGUGACUGAGCAGCUGGGACUGAGGGUCUCCUGCUCGGUCACCUUGGAGGAAUGGGUGGCUUUAGGGAACUGUCGGGACUGAUCCCAUUGGCCAAGCUAGAGGGGGCCCGGGCUGCGCCCUGGUUCCAAGACAGGGAUCUGGAGCAGGGUGUCUCCUAAUGUCCAGCAGCACAAGGCUCCUCUGUCCUUUCUCCCUCCCUGGGUUGUCCCUGCCCCCUGGAAGCCCUGGCUCUUCCUACGGAGCAUGCGCUCCCCUCCCCACCCCCCUCCCCUGGUUCACCUGACUUAUUUAUUUAUUUAUGGCCGGAGCUGUGAGCCAGGGUCAGCUCAGUCCUGCUCCUUUGCCUGCCCGGGCAGCAGGGUAAUGAGUAACCAUAGCGUGCUACAGGCAGCUGUCUCGGACAAGCCCGAGUCGCCCCGGGAGCGAGCGCAUAAGGGAGCGUUUGUUCUGUCCUUUCUCAAUAGUUCCUUGUGCAGGAGGCAGGGUGACGGCGAGGGAGGAGGGGGCAGGGAGGAAGAAAGGGACAGACUGCUUCUCCCCCAGCCCCGUCCUCCCCACCCACACUGACCACCAUGGACUGGAGACUGAGUCCACAGACCCAGCAGGGGCUCCGAGCCUCCACUGUACUCUCCUGGGGAGCCGCAGAGUCCAUGGAGCCCGAGGGCUGGUUUUCACAUGGGCCAGACUGGGUGGGUGAGGUCCCCCAUCUCCCUCCCCGAGUGGACGAACACAACACUUAUUGUUUCCGAGGCCACUUAACGAUCCAAUAAAUCUCCAGACAUCCA
Molecule: long non-coding RNA, 4197 nt
Organism: Marmota monax (woodchuck)
Lineage: Eukaryota; Metazoa; Chordata; Mammalia; Rodentia; Sciuridae
Exons: 2
Source: RefSeq, a predicted model, not a curated record